CUCUCCGCCAGACCGCCGCCGCGCCGCCAUCAUGGACACCAGCCGUGUGCAGCCUAUCAAGCUGGCCAGGGUCACCAAGGUCCUGGGCAGGACCGGUUCUCAGGGACAGUGCACGCAGGGUCUUGGAUGUCGGGUUCGACCACUUGGCCGAUGGGAAUGGUCUGUCACAGUCUGCUCCUUUUUUUUGUCCGCCACACGUAACUGAGAUGCUCCUUUAAAUAAAGCGUUUGUGUUUCAAGUU
This 241-nucleotide long non-coding RNA is filed under the name Homo sapiens (human). Its description in RNAcentral is "HSALNT0255356". The record is from RNAcentral. Lineage: Eukaryota; Metazoa; Chordata; Mammalia; Primates; Hominidae.